UUUUUUUUUAAGCGCUUACACAAGUUUGGAGGUAGAAUAGAAUAUUUGAGUCAUAGUAUUUAUUGAUUCUGAGUUCUGCUGUUUUUACUUUCGCAUUUUUAUUCAUGGAUUUCAAGAUUUGUCAUAGACGUCAAAAUUUUCCAUCAUGUAAAAUUGGCUACCCCAAAUUUGGAAAGGAAUAAUUCCAGAGGAAAGUCCUCUUCUCUCUAAACUUGUGUAAGCGCUUAAAAAAAAAUG
RNAcentral lists this unclassified non-coding RNA (237 nucleotides) under Hevea brasiliensis (rubber tree). Lineage: Eukaryota; Viridiplantae; Streptophyta; Magnoliopsida; Malpighiales; Euphorbiaceae. The record is from RNAcentral.